This 242-nucleotide unclassified non-coding RNA is filed under the name Hevea brasiliensis (rubber tree). The record is from RNAcentral. Lineage: Eukaryota; Viridiplantae; Streptophyta; Magnoliopsida; Malpighiales; Euphorbiaceae.
GUUUUUGAAUCCAAAAGCCAUGCAAUACGAUUCAUAUGAAUUCAUUUUUCCCUUAUCAAUUACGAGUUCCUUCUUCAAUAUAGAAUUGCAGAGCAACCCGUUAUCCAUUAGACAUAUUUAAUAUUGACAAGACUAAAACAACUGGUAAUGCUAUUACAGUCGAGUACAAAGUACAAACAAGGUGACCAAGAGAAGGGGGAAAACCAUUUUUCAAACAGAAAUGAUAAAAUGAUAAAACAAAA